GACGAACGCUGGCGGCGUGCUUAACACAUGCGAGUCGAACGGAAAGGCCCUGCUUUUGUGGGGUGCUCGAGUGGCGAACGGGUGAGUAACACGUGAGUAACCUGCCCUUGACUUUGGGAUAACUUCAGGAAACUGGGGCUAAUACCGGAUAGGAGCUCCUGCUGCAUGGUGGGGGUUGGAAAGUUUCGGCGGUUGGGGAUGGACUCGCGGCUUAUCAGCUUGUUGGUGGGGUAGUGGCUUACCAAGGCUUUGACGGGUAGCCGGCCUGAGAGGGUGACCGGCCACAUUGGGACUGAGAUACGGCCCAGACUCCUACGGGAGGCAGCAGUGGGGAAUAUUGCACAAUGGGCGGAAGCCUGAUGCAGCAACGCCGCGUGCGGGAUGACGGCCUUCGGGUUGUAAACCGCUUUCGCCUGUGACGAAGCGUGAGUGGCGGUAAUGGGUAAAGAAGCACCGGCUAACUACGUG
RNAcentral lists this ribosomal RNA (468 nucleotides) under uncultured bacterium. RNAcentral describes it as "partial 16S ribosomal RNA". It matches the Rfam family "Bacterial small subunit ribosomal RNA", at positions 28 to 507 of the family's 1533-position model. The record is from RNAcentral.